This 1372-nucleotide ribosomal RNA is filed under the name uncultured bacterium. Its description in RNAcentral is "bacterial SSU rRNA". It matches the Rfam family "Bacterial small subunit ribosomal RNA", at positions 28 to 1381 of the family's 1533-position model. The record is from RNAcentral.
GAUGAACGCUGGCGGCGUGCCUAAUACAUGCAAGUCGAGCGAACGGACGAGAAGCUUGCUUCUCUGAUGUUAGCGGCGGACGGGUGAGUAACACGUGGAUAACCUACCUAUAAGACUGGGAUAACUUCGGGAAACCGGAGCUAAUACCGGAUAAUAUUUUGAACCGCAUGGUUCAAAAGUGAAAGACGGUCUUGCUGUCACUUAUAGAUGGAUCCGCGCUGCAUUAGCUAGUUGGUAAGGUAACGGCUUACCAAGGCAACGAUGCAUAGCCGACCUGAGAGGGUGAUCGGCCACACUGGAACUGAGACACGGUCCAGACUCCUACGGGAGGCAGCAGUAGGGAAUCUUCCGCAAUGGGCGAAAGCCUGACGGAGCAACGCCGCGUGAGUGAUGAAGGUCUUCGGAUCGUAAAACUCUGUUAUUAGGGAAGAACAUAUGUGUAAGUAACUGUGCACAUCUUGACGGUACCUAAUCAGAAAGCCACGGCUAACUAUGUGCCAGCAGCCGCGGUAAUACGUAGGUGGCAAGCGUUAUCCGGAAUUAUUGGGCGUAAAGCGCGCGUAGGCGGUUUUUUAAGUCUGAUGUGAAAGCCCACGGCUCAACCGUGGAGGGUCAUUGGAAACUGGAAAACUUGAGUGCAGAAGAGGAAAGUGGAAUUCCAUGUGUAGCGGUGAAAUGCUCAGAGAUAUGGAGGAACACCAGUGGCGAAGGCGACUUUCUGGUCUGUAACUGACGCUGAUGUGCGAAAGCGUGGGGAUCAAACAGGAUUAGAUACCCUGGUAGUCCACGCCGUAAACGAUGAGUGCUAAGUGUUAGGGGGUUUCCGCCCCUUAGUGCUGCAGCUAACGCAUUAAGCACUCCGCCUGGGGAGUACGACCGCAAGGUUGAAACUCAAAGGAAUUGACGGGGACCCGCACAAGCGGUGGAGCAUGUGGUUUAAUUCGAAGCAACGCGAAGAACCUUACCAAAUCUUGACAUCCUUUGACAACUCUAGAGAUAGAGCCUUCCCCUUCGGGGGACAAAGUGACAGGUGGUGCAUGGUUGUCGUCAGCUCGUGUCGUGAGAUGUUGGGUUAAGUCCCGCAACGAGCGCAACCCUUAAGCUUAGUUGCCAUCAUUAAGUUGGGCACUCUAAGUUGACUGCCGGUGACAAACCGGAGGAAGGUGGGGAUGACGUCAAAUCAUCAUGCCCCUUAUGAUUUGGGCUACACACGUGCUACAAUGGACAAUACAAAGGGCAGCGAAACCGCGAGGUCAAGCAAAUCCCAUAAAGUUGUUCUCAGUUCGGAUUGUAGUCUGCAACUCGACUACAUGAAGCUGGAAUCGCUAGUAAUCGUAGAUCAGCAUGCUACGGUGAAUACGUUCCCGGGUCU